This 506-nucleotide ribosomal RNA is filed under the name uncultured bacterium. RNAcentral describes it as "partial 16S ribosomal RNA". It matches the Rfam family "Bacterial small subunit ribosomal RNA", at positions 30 to 523 of the family's 1533-position model. The record is from RNAcentral.
AUUGAACGCUGGCGGCAGGCCUAACACAUGCAAGUCGGGCGGUAACAGGAAUCAGCUUGCUGAUUCGCUGACGAGCGGCGGACGGGUGAGUAAUGUCUGGGAAACUGCCUGAUGGAGGGGGAUAACUACUGGAAACGGUAGCUAAUACCGCAUAACGUCUACGGACCAAAGUGGGGGACCUUCGGGCCUCAUGCCAUCAGAUGUGCCCAGAUGGGAUUAGCUCGUAGGUGGGGUAACGGCUCACCUAGGCGACGAUCCCGAGCUGGUCUGAGAGGAUGACCAGCCACACUGGAACUGAGACACGGUCCAGACUCCUACGGGAGGCAGCAGUGGGGAAUAUUGCACAAUGGGCGCAAGCCUGAUGCAGCCAUGCCGCGUGUAUGAAGAAGGCCUUCGGGUUGUAAAGUACUUUCAGCGGGGAGGAAGGUGUUGUGGUUAAUACCCGCAGCAAUUGACGUUACCCGCAGAAGAAGCACCGGCUAACUCCGUGCCAGCCGCCGCCGUAA